Long non-coding RNA from Ostrea edulis (European flat oyster), 1139 nucleotides. RefSeq lists it as uncharacterized. The record is from RefSeq and is a predicted model, not a curated record. Lineage: Eukaryota; Metazoa; Mollusca; Bivalvia; Ostreida; Ostreidae. The transcript has 2 exons.
CCCCCCCAAGACGAAAUCCAAUCAGCCCACUGGCAAUAUGAACAGGUUACAAUCCACCCUGUCGUUACUUAUUACAGAUAUUCUGAGACUGGAUGUGAAGGUUGUCACUGAAAGUAUUGUGUCAUUCUGAUGAUGCUGUACAGGCAUUCAACACAACAAUAAAUGAACAUCGAAGAAAAUUAAACAUAUGGAGUACAAUUUUUGAAGGGAUGCAGUGCCGAGUACAAGUCACCAACUCCAUUUGUGGAUGUAUUCUGUCGGGCAGAUGAUUAAAAUGGUUUCACGGUUGAAAGAAAUUUCUUUGGCUCACAUCACAGUAAAGGAUCUUGUGAUGGGUCGGGAGCUGUUACAAAAUAAGCUAAAGGAAGAGCUAUUGAAAGCAGUGAAGCCACUACAGGUAUACAGAAUGCAGAGGGUCAACUUAACCCGUCGGUAGAUGUCAUCCCAGAAUCUCCUGAUACAGGACAAAGCAGAUCACCAGUCACUGAGUUUGUUGAUGGAGAACAACAUGAUAAUACCACAUACACAUUCCCUUGACUUCACUUUCACAAAUAAACAACUGAAGAUAAGGAUAUCAGUGGUGGAUCCACAACAGAGAAUAGACAACUGAAGAGAAGGAUAUCGGUGGUGGAUCCACUACAGAGAAUCAACAUCACCAGUCUAUAGAUGAAGUCCCACAAUCUUCUGAUUCCGGGCAAAUCCGUUCUUGUGUCUCUUUGUUGUCCACCCAACUGACAGAGAACAACCGAUAAGGCUACUAUUCCUGAGCCACAGAGAACAACCCGAUAAUGCUACAAUUCCUGGGCCACUCAGAACAAUUAACCCGUCGAUAAUGCUUCAAUUCCUGGGCCACUCAGAACAAUUAACCCGUCGAUAAUGCUUCAAUUCCUGGGUCACCACAGCAGUUAAAUGGUUUUGACAGGUAUAUAUAUUUGAUAGAGUUAUAUUCUUCCAAAAUAUUGAACAAAGAAAGAUCAGUUAAGGUGAUAGUUGAAAUAAACUAUUUUACUCACUUUUGUACAAAUUGUAUUAUGUUUAUUGCCUUCCAGUGAUUUAGUUAGACAUUUUCAUUGACUAACCAUUUUGCCAAUUAACAUGAUUAAAGUGGCAAUUUUUUUGUUGCUAAAAAUAUAGCCAAA